CCUACGGGAGGCUGCAGUGGGGAAUAUUGCACAAUGGGGGAAACCCUGAUGCAGCGACGCCGCGUGAGCGAUGAAGUAUUUCGGUAUGUAAAGCUCUAUCAGCAGGGAAGAAGAUGACGGUACCUGACUAAGAAGCCCCGGCUAACUACGUGCCAGCAGCCGCGGUAAUACGGAGGGGGCAAGCGUUAUCCGGAUUUACUGGGUGUAAAGGUAGCGUAGACGGCAAUGCAAGGCAGGUGUGAAAGCCGGGGGCUCAACCCCGGGACUGCAUUUGGAACUGGGUGGCUGGAGUGUCGGAGGGGCAGGCGGAAUUCCUAGUGUAGCGGUGAAAUGCGUAGAUAUUAGGAGGAACACCGGUGGCGAAGGCGGCCUGCUGGACGAUGACUGACGUUGAGGCUCGAAAGCGUGGGGAGCAAACAGGAUUAGAUACCCGUGUAGUC
Molecule: ribosomal RNA, 440 nt
Filed under: uncultured bacterium
Lineage: Bacteria
Description: partial 16S ribosomal RNA
Rfam family: Bacterial small subunit ribosomal RNA
Source: RNAcentral